Dermochelys coriacea (leatherback sea turtle) is the source of this 407-nucleotide non-coding RNA. Lineage: Eukaryota; Metazoa; Chordata; Testudines; Dermochelyidae. The record is from the annotation of a RefSeq genome assembly.
GGGACAAGUCUGGGUGUCGGUGCAGAUCCCACCAGAAAACCCUCCAGCAUCAGCAACAUGAGACUGUGGCUGACCCUCGCUUUCUUACUAGCAGCCCUUCCAGAUGUCCGGUCACAGGUCCAGCUGGUGGAGUCCGGAGGGGGGAUUCAAACCCCUGGGGGAUCUUUCUGCCUCACCUGCAAAGCCUCUGGAUUCACCUUCAGCAGCUCCUGGAUGAACUGGGCCCAUCAGGCUCCCGGGAAAGGACUGGAGUGGGUCAUACAGAUACACAAUCCUGCUGUUGAUUUAGCAGCAUAUUACAGUGAUUCUGUGAAAGGGCGAUUCACCAUCUCCUGAGACGAGUCCAGCACCAUGGUGUAUCUGCAAAUGAACAGCCUGAAAGCCGAAGACACCGCCCGGUAUCACUG